GCCGCCCUAGCUCAAUGGUAGAGCAGUUGACUCUUAAUCAAUUGGUUCGGGGUUCGAGCCCCCGGGGCGGCACCA
RNAcentral lists this transfer RNA (75 nucleotides) under Opitutaceae bacterium. Its description in RNAcentral is "tRNA-Lys". It matches the Rfam family "tRNA". Rfam says of the family: Transfer RNA (tRNA) molecules are approximately 80 nucleotides in length. Their secondary structure includes four short double-helical elements and three loops (D, anti-codon, and T loops). The record is from RNAcentral. Lineage: Bacteria; Pseudomonadati; Verrucomicrobiota; Opitutia; Opitutales; Opitutaceae.